RNAcentral lists this ribosomal RNA (459 nucleotides) under uncultured bacterium. RNAcentral describes it as "partial 16S ribosomal RNA". It matches the Rfam family "Bacterial small subunit ribosomal RNA", at positions 29 to 523 of the family's 1533-position model. The record is from RNAcentral.
AACGAACGCUGGCGGCAGGCCUAACACAUGCAAGUCGAACGAGAAGCCACCUUCGGGUGGUGGAAAGUGGCAGACGGGUGAGUAACGCGUGGGAACGUGCCUUUCGGUUCGGGAUAACCCAGGGAAACUUGGGCUAAUACCGGAUACGCCCUCCGGGGGAAAGAUUCAUUGCCGAAAGAUCGGCCCGCGUCGGAUUAGCUAGUUGGUAGGGUAAUGGCCUACCAAGGCGACGAUCCGUAGCUGGUCUGAGAGGAUGACCAGCCACACUGGGACUGAGACACGGCCCAGACUCCCACGGGAGGCAGCAGUGGGGAAUAUUGGACAAUGGGCGAAAGCCUGAUCCAGCCAUGCCGCGUGGGUGAAGAAGGCCUUAGGGUUGUAAACCCCUUUCAGCGGGGAAGAUAAUGACGGUACCCGCAGAAGAAGUCCCGGCUAACUCCGUGCCAGCCGCCGCCGUAA